RNAcentral lists this ribosomal RNA (465 nucleotides) under uncultured bacterium. RNAcentral's name for it is "partial 16S ribosomal RNA". It matches the Rfam family "Bacterial small subunit ribosomal RNA", at positions 339 to 795 of the family's 1533-position model. The record is from RNAcentral.
CUACGGGGCGCUCCAGUGAGGAAUUUUGCGCAAUGGGGGGAACCCUGACGCAGCAACGCCGCGUGAGUGAUGAAGGCUUUCGGGUCGUAAAGCUCUGUCAAGUGGGAAGAACCUAUGCAGUGUUAAUAUCACUGUAUACUGACGGUACCACUGAAGGAAGCACCGGCUAACUCCGUGCCAGCAGCCGUGGUAAUACGGGGGGUGCAAGGGUUAUUCGGAAUCAUUGGGCGUAAAGGGCACGUAGGCGGCUUCGUAAGUCAGAUGUGAAAGCCCGGGGCUUAACCCCGGAAGUGCAUUUGAUACUGUCAAGCUUGAGUAUGGGAGAGGGAAGUGGAAUUCCUGGUGUAGAAGUGAUAUUAGUAGAUAUCAGGAGGAACACCGGUGGCGAAGGCGACUUCCUGGACCAAUACUGACGCUGAGGUGCGAAGGCGUGGGUAGCAAACAGGAUUAGAUACCCGGGUAGUC